This 3762-nucleotide long non-coding RNA is filed under the name Prunus persica (peach). RNAcentral describes it as "long non-coding RNA (PPER_LNC007392)". The record is from RNAcentral. Lineage: Eukaryota; Viridiplantae; Streptophyta; Magnoliopsida; Rosales; Rosaceae.
GUGAAGCAGGGCAGUUGCAGCACAGAAAUUGAAGACCAAUUCUGGUGAAGGUAGCAUGUCGAAGUUUUCGCAGCCUUCGGGCAAUCCUGCUUCUUCGGCUGGAAAUUUCACUUGGAUUACUCGGAUUUGGAGCCCAGAUUCUAGGUCUCGAGUAAGAACUGUUUGAAAUCGGGCUGCAUUGUGGGGUGUGGUGAAUAUGGUGACAAUGAUGCCUUGUUGUGCAAACAAUCUAGCAAUGUCUAUCAAUGGGAUCAUGUGGCCUGAAGCCAUUAGAGGAAAGAACACAAAGUGAAGCUGGUGGUCUUGAUGAGAAGCCAUGGAAAUUAAGGGGAAGAGAUGAACAACAAUAAUGUUCAUGAAAUGAAUUAAGCAGGCUUAAGUUUCUUAUUUAAGUACUGCUAUAUAUAAAAACUUUGAUGCUACCAGUCAAUUGUUCUUUGUUUAUACAUGUAUUAGUUUAUCCAAAGAAGAUAUGUAAGAGCAUAUGUAUACAUGUAUUAGUUUAUCCAAAGAAGAUUAUGACUCAGAGAAGAAAAUGUUGUUUAUGGAUGAAGAGGUUUAGGAAAUAGUUGGUUUUAGUGUUUGGGACAAUAGCUUGACUAUGUAUAGAAAACUUUUAGAAGAGUAACAAAGUAAAAUUUUAUUUGAAUGAGGAGAAAAGGUACAAAGCUUAGAUAUAAGCCUUAGUGGGAUAUAGGACAGCUGGUUGUUUUUCAGCUUAUAUAUUUGUUAAGGCAACAAGCCUAUAUAUAGGAGAGUCCUAACCGACUUAGUUAGUUUAUUAUAGAAAUAUUUAGUCAUGUACUCAUUUUUAUAAACGAACCAACAAAUGACAGCUGACCAUAUUGAAUUUAAUUUUGAUUAUUAAAUUACUUUGAUGUCCUAUUUAGUGUUUUGGAUUUUUUAUGAAGUUUUAGGAUUGGACUUGUUUUAAGAAAUUAAAUACAGUUUUAUAAUUUAUAAGAAGUUAAAAGCUUCUUUGUUAUAUUGUAGAUGGACUUUGAGUGUAUUUUUAAAGUCUAUUAUCUAUAUAUAUAUAUAUACACACUAAGUGGGUUUGCUCAGAUUUUUCUAUAUUAUCCGACACACAAGUGUAGAAAAGAGCUUUGUGGAUAACGUUACCUCUGACCUUUCUCUUUCAUCUGCUAAGACAGACCUGCGGGGGCCCGCUACUAAGUCCUCCAAACUUAUUGAUACAUUGAAUUGAUGAAAAUGUCAUGGUGAUUGGGCCCACAGGCUAGGUGUGAGAAGUUUCGCAGCAGCAAACUUUGACUAUGGCUAAAGAACGUCUUCCUUGUGAAGUAACAGAUUGUGAGAUGUAAGCAUUCAGUGAGUCACAGAGGAAAGAAAAGACUAGAGAGUGAAAGUAUCCAGUGGUCCAGGCGUGGAGUUUUUAUCUUAAACAUCUCGGCGCAGUUAGCAAGGGACUACUUACUUUUAAGCAAUAGAUUAUUGUGAUACUCCUCCAAUGUAAGAUUAUACUAAUCAUCAUUCAUGACUUGUACCCAACCACGCAACUCCAACAACAUUAAUAUCUCCCACACAUCUAAAUAUGGAACAUGAAAGAUCAUAUGAAAUAGCCCCUGCUAUUACCAUACAAGGUAAAAGAAGGAAAUAGUGGAAUUCUGUACAAAUUGGUUAGAGCUUUUAGCUGUGUAAUGUUAAGGUCAGAAGAUCCACCUUCUUUCUUUGCCGUCUCCCCAAACUCUCUGGCUUACUCUCUUCUCCCUUGCCUUUGUUAUCCAAGAAUUUCUGGAGUUACGUGAAGCAUCUCCCAUUGCUAAAUAUGGAACAUACAAGAUAUUUGUUGGGAUCUCACUGAGCACCCAACAGUAGGUUGCUCUGUCAGAUUCUUUUUUGCAGCAGCCGUUGGAUAACAUGCGAAGGUAGGCAGGACACCGUUCAGUUUGGUUUGGUCUAGAGCCUAAAUUGUGAAUCAAACCGAUCAUGUCGAUAAUAAUUUGGUCAAACCAUAAACCGAACCAAUAAAAUUAGUUUAGGUCUGUUCGGUUUAUUAAGAUUCGUGAUUUGGGUUGGUCAUUUUGAUUUCUCUUUACACACCAAUUUUCUUAUUUUGUUUAAUUAUUGUUUUUAUAAGAAAUUAAUAGGCCGAAAACACACCUAUAUUUGGUUCUUCUAAAUCAACCUAAUAACAUUCCAAAUCAAACUAAAGACAGUAAUGAGAGCAAUAGUAAAAUAAACAACUGCAUUACAAUCAUUACAGAGCAGAAUGUAUGCAGUAAGCAGUAUGCUUGAGAAAAGAACAUUCAAACUCUUCUUAGUUUUUUCUUCCAAAAAUUUAAAAAAACUCUUCUUAGUUUGUGUUUAUGCAGUUAGUUCUUUGAUCUCUUGGAUUAGCUGUUUUAUGUUGAGGUGAGAAGAUCCACCUUCUGCUACUGCUCUCUUUGCCAUCUUUGCUAACUCUCUGGCUCUCUCUCUUCUCCCUUGGCUAUCUUCUCCAUCAAUCAAUUUCUCUAUGGCCUCCUUCACCUUCUCCUUUCUCAAAACCACCCUAAUCUUCUCCUCCUCUCCCCACAAAACUGAAAAUUCCACACCAACUCUCACUGAAAUCUUUAGAAUCUGUUCAACAAGUUUCUCAUUUAUAAAUUGGUCCCCAUGCAGUGGCCAUGUGAGCAAAGGCACCCCAGCACAAAUCCCUUCCAAUGUGGAAUUCCAGCCACAAUGUGUCAAGAACCCACCAACUGCAGGGUGUGAUAAUAUAAGCGUCUGCGGAGCCCAACCAUGAAUCACGAGGCUCCUUGCUCUGUUCCUUUCCUCAAAUCCACUUUCUGCAAUCCAUUUCUGCAAUUCCUGUAUUUCAAUGCAGCCCCUUACAACCCAAAUGAACGGUUUAUUUGAUGCCUCUAACGCCAAUCCAAUCUCUAUCAACUGUUCAGAGCUGAGGUGACACAUACUUCCAAAGCAAGCAUAAAGUACAGAAGCUGGUGCCCAUGAGUCGAGCCAUUUGAAGCAGUGAAGUUCAUCAAUGGAGACUUUGUUGCCCCUUUGUGCCUUGUCCAAGUCAUCUUUGUUGCAUAGGGAAGCAGGGCCAAUGCACCAGAGUUUAUCAUUUUUUACCUUUUUGUAUGCUUGAACAUAUGCUGGCUCCAAUUCCUCAAAAGUAUUCACGAUCAUCCCAUAUGUCUCCGUUUCUACUGCUCCCAUUUUGUCAAAAAAAUCUUUCAGUCUUGCUGUCACUGACCCAUCUGGAAGCUGAUCUUUCGUCAUCUCAAUUCGAUCAGGCAGGUUUGGCAGAACAAGGUACUCUGAAUCAGACGUUACACUCUCAAGCACGUUGGAUACGCUCAAAUUGUGAACGCACAAGAAAGUGAUGCAGUUUGUUCCACCAAAAGAUAUCCUUGGAAUGUGAUGCUUGCUAGCAAGGUCAUAAGUCCAUGGAAAACUCACGUCUGAGAUUAUGCAAUUUGGCUUUGGAGUGAGCUCUUCAAACAAUUUCUCUACUGGCUUGUGAAGCAAGGUAGUUGCAGCAAAGCAAUUGAAGACCAAGUCUGGUGAAGGUAGCAUGUCGAAGUUUUCGCAGCCUUCGGGCAAUCCUGCUUCUUCGGCUGGAAAUUUCACUUGGAUUACUCGAAUUUGGAGCCCAGAUUCUAGGUCUCGAGUAAGAACUGUUUGAAAUCGGGCUGCAUUGUGGGGUGUGGUGAAUAUGGUGACAAUGAUGCCUUGUUGUGCAAACAAUCUAGCAAUGUCUAUCAAUGGGAUCAUGUGGCCUGAAGCCAUUAGAGGAAAGAACACAAAGUGAAG